GGAGCGGGCGGUUUCCAGACCGCUACCGAUGCCGGUGUUGGUCAGAUCCUGCACGGCGAACGAGUUCAGCCCGAACAGCUGGUACGAUUGUCCGAACAGGACAUUGAUGGAGCCGCCGCGGUCGAACUGCGUGGUCGCCUGAACGCCGACAUUGGCACGGCCGCCGCCUUCGACNUCAUAGCCCGAGAACUUGUCGACGCGGAACAGGUUGCUGUCGUCGAAAGUAAAGCUCUGUGCGUCUUCGUUCGGAAGACGGCCGGCGCUCGGCUCAUUGGGACGGAUGAUCAACUGGCCGAUCGGUUCGAUUGUCGUGGUGCCCCACGGCUGCACAUUGAUGAAUGGAUAGCGAUACUCGAGC
RNAcentral lists this unclassified non-coding RNA (358 nucleotides) under Hevea brasiliensis (rubber tree). The record is from RNAcentral. Lineage: Eukaryota; Viridiplantae; Streptophyta; Magnoliopsida; Malpighiales; Euphorbiaceae.